Molecule: long non-coding RNA, 1152 nt
Filed under: Aquila chrysaetos chrysaetos
Lineage: Eukaryota; Metazoa; Chordata; Aves; Accipitriformes; Accipitridae
Description: lncRNA (ENSACCG00020003626.1)
Source: RNAcentral
CUAUAUACUCCACUCCUUUUUACCUUGAUGGUAUUCCAUGCAGGUUCUUAUACUGCACCCAAGACUGUGGUGUCUGAACACCUCAUACAGCUAAGCACCCAUCAAGAACAAGACCUAAGCCUAGCCUUCAGUGUGGUUUUGCUUGUGCUCCAAGGAGCCGACGGAGAGAGGGAGUGGAGAAGCCGGCUGAAACUAUCCCUGCUGCCCCGGCAGGAUGACCAGCUGAGCUGGGAAAGACAAGGAAGCACGCGCAAGUGACUAGAAAAACAGAAUCUCGCCCUAAUCAGCCCUGUAUCAUCACUAUGUCUGCAAGUGACAACUCAUCACUGUUCAAAAAUUAUCUGAAGAAGAUUGUUAAAAAGGAUGAAUAAUACUGGACACUUACCUUGAAAAUUGACUCCAGCUGCUUUCCCGGGGUGAUAACUUUUGUUAUGUGUUUAUGGUUUCUUAUGAAGAAUUUUCUUGUUCAGGCAACAAAAACAAGUUGCUCAAAUUUUUUCAUUAGCACUUCCACUGCCACAGGCUUGGGCAAAAUAUAUUUUGUACCUUCAAUGGUAAAUUUUUAUUGCAGCAACCUAUGGGUUUUAUAUACAGAUAUGAAAGUUUAACAACAUGAAAAUGUUUAGAGAACUGAAGAUACAUCCAAGAAGAACGAGGUUACUGCAUUUCUGAUUACUUCUACUGUAUGCUGGCAUUAUAGCGGCUGUAAAGAAGGCAGUUGCAUCUGAGCUGAAAUGCAGGAUCAACAACCAGGAGUCUUUACUGGAAAUGUUUGAAGAUGUGUGAUGUUUCAUUCCUGUGUCCACACAAGGUGGAACAAAGGCAAAGCAGGGCAAGACUAAAGGUGUAGCUGCUCACCAGAAAAUAGCUGAGUUCCAUAGACGCUACUGCCCUUUCUUGUCCAGUUACAGACUGGAGAUGCAUCUCAUUCUUUACAUGUAACUCCUGAAGGAUACAGCCAAAUAGCAUCUGGGUCCAUCUGUCCUCAGAAGGAAGUGCAGGAGGAGCUGAGAGAGAUCCCUGAAGUGUCAAACAUGCUGCCACCUCUGGAACAUGCAAGAUAUAAAAUGGGUUUGACUACGUCAUCAUCCCAAAACACAGGUACUUACUAGUUUGUAUGCCAUCCAUAUAAUAACAAUGUUGACGUUUCAG